GCGUAACGCGUGAGCAACCUACCUCUAUCAGGGGGAUAGCCUCUCGAAAGAGAGAUUAAUACCGCAUAAUAUAUUUUUCCGGCAUCGGGAGAUUAUUAAAUAUUUAUAGGAUAGAGAUGGGCUCGCGUGACAUUAGCUAGUUGGUAGGGUAACGGCCUACCAAGGCGACGAUGUCUAGGGGCUCUGAGAGGAGAAUCCCCCACACUGGUACUGAGACACGGACCAGACUCCUACGGGAGGCAGCAGUAAGGAAUAUUGGUCAAUGGGCGGAAGCCUGAACCAGCCAUGCCGCGUGCAGGAUGACUGCCCUAUGGGUUGUAAACUGCUUUUGUCCAGGAAUAAACCUAAAUACGUGUAUUUAGCUGAAUGUACUGGAAGAAUAAGGAUCGGCUAACUCCGUGCCAGCAGCCGCGGUAAUACGGAGGAUCCGAGCGUUAUCCGGAUUUAUUGGGUUUAAAGGGUGCGUAGGCGGCCUAUUAAGUCAGGGGUGAAAUACGGUGGCUCAACCAUCGCAGUGCCUUUGAUACUGAUGGGCUUGAAUCCAUUUGAAGUGGGCGGAAUAAGACAAGUAGCGGUGAAAUGCAUAGAUAUGUCUUAGAACUCCGAUUGCGAAGGCAGCUCACUAAGCUGGUAUUGACGCUGAUGCACGAAAGCGUGGGGAUCGAACAGGAUUAGAUACCCUGGUAGUCCACGCCCUAAACGAUGAUAACUCGAUGUUGGCGAUAGACAGCCAGCGUCCCAGCGAAAGCGUUAAGUUAUCCACCUGGGGAGUACGCCCGCAAGGGUGAAACUCAAAGGAAUUGACGGGGGCCCGCACAAGCGGAGGAGCAUGUGGUUUAAUUCGAUGAUACGCGAGGAACCUUACCCGGGCUUGAAAGUUAGUGAAGAGAUCAGAGACGGUCUCGUCCUUCGGGACACGAAACUAGGUGCUGCAUGGCUGUCGUCAGCUCGUGCCGUGAGGUGUUGGGUUAAGUCCCGCAACGAGCGCAACCCCUAUGUUUAGUUGCCAGCAUGUAAUGGUGGGGACUCUAAACAGACUGCCUGUGCAAACAGAGAGGAAGGUGGGGACGACGUCAAGUCAUCAUGGCCCUUACGUCCGGGGCUACACACGUGCUACAAUGGAUGGUACAGCGGGCAGCUACAUAGCAAUAUGGUGCUAAUCUCUAAAAGCCAUUCACAGUUCGGAUUGGGGUCUGCAACUCGACCCCAUGAAGUUGGAUUCGCUAGUAAUCGCGUAUCAGCAAUGACGCGGUGAAUACGUUCCCGGGCCUUGU
This 1274-nucleotide ribosomal RNA is filed under the name Sphingobacterium sp. 87B. RNAcentral's name for it is "bacterial SSU rRNA". It matches the Rfam family "Bacterial small subunit ribosomal RNA", at positions 108 to 1384 of the family's 1533-position model. Lineage: Bacteria; Pseudomonadati; Bacteroidota; Sphingobacteriia; Sphingobacteriales; Sphingobacteriaceae. The record is from RNAcentral.